Molecule: long non-coding RNA, 419 nt
Organism: Photinus pyralis (common eastern firefly)
Lineage: Eukaryota; Metazoa; Arthropoda; Insecta; Coleoptera; Lampyridae
Exons: 3
Source: RefSeq, a predicted model, not a curated record
GUUGGGUAUAAAAUGCAAAAUCACUUAAUGCGACACUAGUGAAUUAGAACUGACACUCCAUUGCAUAUCUCCAGCGCUUGCAGAUUUUUUGGGAAUUACAAUGUCUCGCAUUGCUCUUCUGUGUUUAGGAAUGUGCUUGAUCCAAUUGACCUUGGCUGAACCGUGUGGACCAAAUGCCGAGUAUAAGGAGCACAUCCAUUGUGAACCUUUUUGUGGGCAACCAAAGCAUCCAAAGGAAUGGACGUGCACCACCGCUCCAACUAUCAGCUGCAUCUGUAAAAAAGGAUAUGUGAGAGAUAGAAGGGUCACUCAAGAAUGUAUGAGGCAAGAACACUGUCCGAUUUAGCACUUCAAAUGUACCGUUCCUUUUAUGUAGGUAAUCGAAAUAUUUUAAUAAACAAAUAAUUCUGAAGAAUCAA